AUGAGGAUCGUCAGCUGGAACUGCCAGGGGCUCGGGAAUGGCCCGGCAGUUCGUGGCCUCUUGGAUCUCAAGAGGGUGGAGGAUCCCGAUGUUUUGUUUCUGUGCGAAACAAAGCUGUUUGAGAAGGAAAUGGAACAGUACAGGUGGAAGCUAGGGUUGGUGAACAUGUGUGUGAAGAACCCGGAUGGCAGGAGCACAGGCUUAUCUAUCUUAUGGAGAAGGGGCGUGAAUUUGUCACUGCGGUCCGUGGGUAGACGACAUAUUGAUGUUGACAUACCGGAUGAGGAUGGGACUGUAUGA
RNAcentral lists this ribosomal RNA (300 nucleotides) under Triticum aestivum (bread wheat). RNAcentral's name for it is "partial small subunit ribosomal RNA". Lineage: Eukaryota; Viridiplantae; Streptophyta; Magnoliopsida; Poales; Poaceae. The record is from RNAcentral.